AGCAGCCGCGGUAAUUCCAGCUCCAAUAGCGUAUAUUAAAGUUGUUGCAGUUAAAAAGCUCGUAGUUGAAUUUCGGGGUUCUACCGUUGGUCGGGCUAACCAGUCUGUACUAGCGUGUAGAAUUCCUACCUUCUGGGGAACCAUCAUGUUAUUAAUUUAGCGUGGUGGGAAACCAGGACCUUUACCUUGAAAAAAUUAGAGUGUUCAAAGCAGGCUUACGUCUGAAUACAUUAGCAUGGAAUAAUAAAAUAGGACGGUGGUCCUGUUUUGUUGGUUUCUGAAUCACCGUAAUGAUUAAUAGGGAUAGUUGGGGGCAUUAGUAUUCAAUUGUCAGAGGCGAAAUUCUUGGAUUUAUUGAAGACUAACUUCUGCGAAAGCAUUUGCCAAGGAUGUUUUCAUUAAUCAAGAACGAAAGUUAGGGGAUCGAAGACGAUCAGAUACCGUCGUAGUCUUAACCAUAAACUAUGCCGACUAGGGAUCGGACGAUGUUAAAUUUUAUUGACUCGUUCGGCGCCUUACG
RNAcentral lists this ribosomal RNA (520 nucleotides) under uncultured Scutellospora. RNAcentral's name for it is "SSU rRNA". It matches the Rfam family "Eukaryotic small subunit ribosomal RNA", at positions 569 to 1092 of the family's 1831-position model. Lineage: Eukaryota; Fungi; Glomeromycota; Glomeromycetes; Diversisporales; Gigasporaceae. The record is from RNAcentral.